UGAACAAUAUCAACAUCAACCAGGGCAG
Molecule: non-coding RNA, 28 nt
Filed under: Cricetulus griseus (Chinese hamster)
Lineage: Eukaryota; Metazoa; Chordata; Mammalia; Rodentia; Cricetidae
Source: RNAcentral